RNAcentral lists this ribosomal RNA (126 nucleotides) under Aotus nancymaae (Ma's night monkey). Lineage: Eukaryota; Metazoa; Chordata; Mammalia; Primates; Aotidae. The record is from RNAcentral.
GUCUACAGCCAUACCACCCUGAACGUGCCUGAUCUUGUCUGAUCUCGGAAGCUAAGCAGGGUUGGGCCUGGUUAGUACUUGGAUGGGAGAUGGGGUUUUGCCAUGUUGGCCAGGCUGGUUUUGAAC